This 252-nucleotide ribosomal RNA is filed under the name uncultured bacterium. RNAcentral describes it as "partial 16S ribosomal RNA". It matches the Rfam family "Bacterial small subunit ribosomal RNA", at positions 524 to 776 of the family's 1533-position model. The record is from RNAcentral.
UACGUAGGGGACGAGCGUUGUCCGGAAUUACUGGGCGUAAAGGGCGCGCAGGCUGUGCUGCAAGUCAGCUGUGAAAUGUCUGGGCUUAACCCGGGCAUGCGGUUGAGACUGCAGUGCUGGAGUGCUGUAGAGGCAAGUGGAAUUCCCAGUGUAGCGGUGAAAUGCGUAGAUAUUGGGAAGAACACCGGUGGCGAAGGCGACUUGCUGGGCAGCAACUGACGCUGAGGCGCGAAAGCCAGGGGAGCAAACGGG